Perca flavescens (yellow perch) is the source of this 527-nucleotide long non-coding RNA. RefSeq lists it as uncharacterized. The record is from RefSeq and is a predicted model, not a curated record. Lineage: Eukaryota; Metazoa; Chordata; Actinopteri; Perciformes; Percidae. The transcript is spliced from 4 exons.
CCUGCAGGGAAGGGACUCCACAUUUAAAUUACCCACUCAGGUAUCCUGUUAGGAUGAAAACUAGCAGACUGUUGGUCAUGGUAAAAGUCUUCUCCGCCUCCUGCUGAUGGAGACCCCUUGCUUAGCAAGCUAGCCACCAGUAGCACAAAAAUGGCAGGAGAGGAUGCGUGAUGAGCGGCAUCUUCCUACGUCACUGUUUCAGCACCGCGGACAGCAUGACGCCUGGACAGUUGUAUUGGCAACCCUGCAGCUCCAUUACCAUCCACAGAGGGGCAGUGCAGCAGUUUGCAGCCACUAUGGACCAGGGAGAGAAAAUGAAAUAAAAGUGGGGAUAAAUCAGGAAAACCGGCACACAUGAAGAAGAGUCAGACCCGUUUAUGCUGUGAUUUUCUGGACACGACCGUCCCUGACACCGGAUAGAUGAGGCUAAUCUCAGCCGCAGGCAGACUGUCAGAAAGCUUUGCUGAAGCUCUGGGUGUAAAAUGGCGCUCGGCUGCCCUGCGCUGUUUUUCUUCCUCUACCUCUCC